RNAcentral lists this ribosomal RNA (482 nucleotides) under uncultured bacterium. RNAcentral's name for it is "partial 16S ribosomal RNA". It matches the Rfam family "Bacterial small subunit ribosomal RNA", at positions 30 to 507 of the family's 1533-position model. The record is from RNAcentral.
AUUGAACGCUGGCGGCAUGCCUUACACAUGCAAGUCGAACGGUAACAGGUCUUCGGAUGCUGACGAGUGGCGAACGGGUGAGUAAUACAUCGGAACGUGCCCGAUCGUGGGGGAUAACGAGGCGAAAGCUUUGCUAAUACCGCAUACGAUCUACGGAUGAAAGCGGGGGAUCUUCGGACCUCGCGCGGACGGAGCGGCCGAUGGCAGAUUAGGUAGUUGGUGGGAUAAAAGCUUACCAAGCCGACGAUCUGUAGCUGGUCUGAGAGGAUGAUCAGCCACACUGGGACUGAGACACGGCCCAGACUCCUACGGGAGGCAGCAGUGGGGAAUUUUGGACAAUGGGCGAAAGCCUGAUCCAGCCAUGCCGCGUGCAGGAUGAAGGCCUUUGGGUUGUAAACUGCUUUUGUACGGAACGAAAAGCCUCUUUCUAAUAAAGAGGGGUCAUGACGGUACCGGAAGAAUAAGCAACGGCUAACUACGUG